This is a long non-coding RNA of Alexandromys fortis (reed vole), 2702 nucleotides long. RefSeq lists it as uncharacterized. The record is from RefSeq and is a predicted model, not a curated record. The transcript has 3 exons. Lineage: Eukaryota; Metazoa; Chordata; Mammalia; Rodentia; Cricetidae.
GCCCUCUUGGGUGCCGGGUCCUGGUGGAACACAACGUCGCCCUCUCUUCAUCCUGGUCUCCCCCUUCUCCUGCGCCCCUCAGGCCCUUGCCUGCCUGUGGUGGCCUUUAUGUCCCAGCGCUCCUCCUCCCGAGGCUCCUGGCCCGUGGCGCAGUAACCUCUCCAGUCGCGCAUUUUCACGGUGAUCGUGGGACGUUCGCGCCUCUCUUUCACCCUGAGCUCAGUGACUGCCAGGACUUGAGUCUCAUUCCGCACGCGGGUCUUUAUCGUGGGGAUGCCAUGCGCUUUGUCUUGUCUCUUCAAAGGUCCAAGGGCACACGAGGCUGUGGACCUCUCCCCACACUGCCGCAGGCGCUGCGGGUGUCAUGUCUGGAGGGUACUUCAUGCCUGGCAGCCCGAGAACCCCAUGCUGCACUCCACCUAAACACCGCCUUCCAGGGGACCACACCAGCCAUACCACGUGCCUUCUCCACUGCUUCCACACUGCUGGACUGAACAGUAGCUUCUUCAGGGAUUGUGGGAGGACACAGGACUGUCCUGUGACAGCAGAAUUGGUCACCACAGCAAGUCAGCUGCUGUCCCGUUGGAGGACCACAGGACCAGGAUGUCCAGUGAAAUCCUCCUAAAUCCUUUUAAGGAAUCCCUCUCUGCAGUCCCUCCUUCCUGUGGAGCCUUCCAGAUCCUCAGCUCUCCCUGCUUCCAUCACCCUCCUAAGAAGCAUCACUGCCCAAGCUGUCCUGCAGAGAAGGAUGCUGCUGCCGCUGCUGCUGCUGGAGAAGGCUUUCUGGAGAGAUGAGGGCCAGCAGGCUUGCUGAGCUCGGUGUGACCUGCAGGGAACAGGCACACACUUGAUCGGCAGACGGCUAUGGCACAAAUCCCUGUCUUAUUUGUCUCUCCUGGGUUAAGUUUUAAUAAUUCUGAAAUUGAUUGCCAACAUUUAAAAGACCGAGGUUUCAUAUGACAUUUUUUUUUCUUUUGAAAAGCUGGCAGCUCUGGCGAGCAUUCUUUGUUGUUUUUAUUCAUUGGAGAAAGGGCUUCUUGUGACUCAAGCUGGCCCUGAACUUGCUAUGUAGCUAAGGAUGACCUCGAACUUCAGGUCCUUCCGUCAUCCGCCUCCAAGUGCUGGAUCACAGGUGUGCACCAUUAUCAUAAUGCUUGUUUUUAAAAUGUAAUUAAAAAAAUGACUAUUGGGACGGGGUUUCUUGAAGGCCAGGCUGACCUUGAACUUGACACACGUCUGAGGUAGAACUUGAACUCUUGGCCCUCUUGCCUCCCUAGCCAGCAUCUUUAAGGAAGCAAUACUAGUGUGGUUUGUUUCUCAGCCUACUUUGAAGUUACUGCCCCGCCUCCAGGAGCCAGAGCUGGUAUAGGUCAUCUUGGCAGAUCUAGAGUCCCAUGGUAGAUGGCAAAGCCAGAGCCGAAGUCAGGCCAAACUAACCCCCCCAAACCUUAACUCACACUGAAAACCAAACAGCACUCCCCUCCAGGCUCGGGACAUGCAUGCCUCAGAGCGUGCCUUAAAAGGUUGCUGCUGUCAGCGGGUUAAGAAUGUUUUCCUUCUUAGCCACUAGCCAUUGUCAGCAGUCACCAAGUCUGGGCUGUUUUUCCAAAGCAGCAAGGGUUAUCGACAGCUGUCUGAAGUUCUUAUCCGUCCUCUGCCUGAGAUGAAAAGACUUAGAUUACACUUGUGAGUUCUAAGAGGCUGGAGCCCAAGACCCCGAAGGUCUAAUUUGGGAACGUGAGGGGUGCAGCUUGCUGUAAGGGAACAACUGUCUGCUGAGGCGAGCCAGGGAGAAGGACAAGGUUCCUUUCGCUCUGGGAGACUCUGUCCUCUGGUCACUCUGUCCCCUUUCUGCGCUUCUGAUUCUUGACAGCCCUGUUCCUCUACCCUAAGUCAUCAUCCCACAGAUUUCCUUUGUCAUCUUGAGACCUCUUCAUGCAGGCCAGGUGUAGGUGUGGGCAGUGUGUGAGGAUACGUCCCUUAAGGACAUGCCUUUACUUAGUUAUUGAAAACUUGACAUUUAGCUCAUCAUGGAUUAUUUUCCGACAUUAAUUUUGAUAUUUUAAAAUAUUGUAUCUGGUGGAUAGUGGUGGCACACACUUUUAAUCUCAGCACUCAGGAGGCAGAGGCAGGCAGAUCUCUGAGUUUGAGGCCAGCCUGGUCUAAAGAGUGAGUUCCAGGACAGUCAGGGCUACACAGAGAAAUCCUGCUCUGGAAAAACAAACAAAUGAAAAAUUGUAUCGAGAUGUUAUUGAUUCUCCUUAAUGAGUUCUUUCAAAGAUACUACAAGGUUACUUUUUCUCCUUGCUUCAUCCCAGCUCUAGCCUGGAGUCUUCUUUUUUUUUUUUUUCCCUUGAGCCCUGGCUGGCUUGGAGCUUCCUACGUAGACCAGCCUGCCCUGGAACUCACAGAGAUCUGUUUGCUUCAGUCUCUGAAGUCCUGAGAUUAAGGUGGGUACCACCAUGCCUAGGCCCUUUUUCAUACACACACACGUAUAUACACGUGUGUGUGUGUAUAUAUACAUAUAUAUGUACAUAUAUAUAUGUAUGGCUUAUGGGUCAAGAGCACUGGCUACUCUGGCAGAGGACUGGGUUCAGUUCCCAGCACCCACAUGGUGGCUUACAACCAGUUAUAACUCCAGUUUCAGGAAAUCUGAUGCCUUCUUUAGGCCUCAGCAGGUGCAGCAUGCACAUGGCACACAG